RNAcentral lists this long non-coding RNA (454 nucleotides) under Polistes fuscatus (common paper wasp). RNAcentral describes it as "uncharacterized LOC122518080". Lineage: Eukaryota; Metazoa; Arthropoda; Insecta; Hymenoptera; Vespidae. The record is from RNAcentral.
UGGUUGUUAUCUCGUCGUAACUUGUUAAUCCCUCGAAGAAGGUAAAACGACGAAGCGGAUGCUGCGUACGAAGAGAGUUACGCGAUUAAGAAGACAACGAGGACGACGCCGACGAGGAGGAGGAGGUGGAGGAAGAGGAGGAGGAAGAGGAGGAGGCACUCGCGGUACCAAAGAGAGUCACUGACCUCUCGACCGAUUAAAGUUCAGAGUGUGUGAUGUUUGAUGCUGCAGUGGUGCUUUAUGCGGAGGCGACGAAAAGGAGAGAAAGAGAAAGGAAGGUGGUGUUGGUGUUGGUGUUGAUAUUGGUAUUGGUUAGUUUAACUCUCAUUUAUGUUAGUUGUUCAUAUUCAAGUAUCGUUUUUAAAUUCUAAACGAGAACUCGCGUACCGUUAAUCAAGCACGGCAAAAGGAAAGAAAGAAAUUUUUAGUCGAUGCGUUUACCAAGAUGGAAGAA